This 155-nucleotide long non-coding RNA is filed under the name Jaculus jaculus (lesser Egyptian jerboa). Its description in RNAcentral is "SMAD5 antisense RNA 1 conserved region 4 (ENSJJAG00000000721.1)". It matches the Rfam family "SMAD5 antisense RNA 1 conserved region 4". Lineage: Eukaryota; Metazoa; Chordata; Mammalia; Rodentia; Dipodidae. The record is from RNAcentral.
UUCAUUUACAUUGAAAUGGGUGUGGUGCUCAGUGUAUCUUGUUUACCUUAUCGUCUGGAAAAAGUUUUGAAGUCAGCUUGGUUUUGUCCCAUCCUGCUGUUGUCCUCACAUAUGUUCUUAGGUACAGUGGAGACAGAUGGAGUGUGUUGGCUGAC